Molecule: long non-coding RNA, 1345 nt
Filed under: Anolis carolinensis (green anole)
Lineage: Eukaryota; Metazoa; Chordata; Lepidosauria; Squamata; Anolidae
Description: lncRNA (ENSACAG00000038688.1)
Source: RNAcentral
GGUCAUCUGUCAGGGGUGCUUUGCUUGUGCUUUUGGUGCACAAAGGCAGAAGGGGGUUGGACUCAAUGGCCCAAGGGGUCUCUUCCAACCCUCUCUUUUAUUAUUAUUAUUAUUAUUAUUAUUAUUAUUAUUAUUAUUAUUAUUAUUAACAUUGAGGCUGGGUGGGCAUGGCCAUCUGUCAGGGGUGCUUUGCUUGUGCUUUCGGUGCACAAAGGCAGAAGGGGGUUGGACUCAAUGGCCCAAGGGGUCUCUUCCAACCCUCUUUUUUGUUAUUGUUGUUGUUGUUGUUAUUAUUAUUAUUAUUAUUAUUAUUGCUUGGUGGCCGACUAUAGUCCGGCCCUCCAACGGUCCAAAGGAUUGUGAACUGGCCCCCUGUUUAAAAAGUUUGGGGACCCCUGCUAACGGUGCUCCAUGCAGUCAUGCCAAUGGCCACAUGACCUUGGAGGUGUCUACGGACAACGCCGGCUCUUCAGCUUAGAAAUGGAGAUGAGCACCAAUCCCCAGAGUCAGACGUGACUGGACUUAAGGGGAAACAUUUACCUUUACCUUUUAUGAAAGCUUAAAUGGGUAAAUUUGUUUAAGUCACUCACUCUCAGCUUGAGGGGAAAGCAAUGACAAACCUUCUCUAAAUAAAUCUUCGGUGUGGUUUGCUGAAGGCAAAUAACAACAAACCCCAGCAGAAGUUCCUCUGGCAUGUUGACGUUAAUUGCUCACAGCAUUCACCUUGAUCAAUCGAUGCUGAGUGCCAUCAGAAAGAAGCACAAUAAAUGCAGGAUGGUCAACGGAGUCUUGCCGACCUGGCUUGAAUCGCUCAGGGUGUUGUCCUAUCAUGAACUUUGAUUUAUGAACAAGGAUGGGAUUAACCCCGGUAUCCAGGAAAUUGGCACACUCCUCCUCUUUUCCCCAAACCCACCUGAAGAACUUGGAGAGGCCUCUUAAAUAAAUUAAAGGCGUAAGCGAAAGUGACGGCAAACAUCGUUGGAGUAUUUAAGUAAGCCACUGAGAACUACCCUUGAUAAUUUAUUCUUGCGAGCAACCUAAUGAUCACCCAACAGGUUUGGUUAAGAAAACGGUUUAUCAGGGCCCCUUGAUAUAGUAGGGUGAAAAAUGUACUGAGCACCUCUGGAUGAUGGAUUGCAAGCUUUAUUCAUACCGAAAAGGAUUGAGAUUUACCCUCUUCAGAGUGGAUUAAGGUGUUUAGACACAAUCACAGCCGAUUCCUCGAAGACAACAGGGGACCCGGUUUUCUCCUUGAUGAGGACUUAAUUUUUAUUGAGAUGCUCGCACCUCCAAAAUGCUCUCCGGGGCUGAAGGGCUGUAAUGCUGUCAAAAAACCUGUCAAAAU